GCCAUUGUGGUGUAGUGGUUUGAGUACUGGCUACAACUCUGGAGACCAGGGUUCGAAUCCUUGCUCAGCCA
Molecule: non-coding RNA, 71 nt
Organism: Phrynosoma platyrhinos (Desert horned lizard)
Lineage: Eukaryota; Metazoa; Chordata; Lepidosauria; Squamata; Phrynosomatidae
Source: the annotation of a GenBank genome assembly